AGUGGGAUAACUGGGUCGAAUGGUGCUUUCAUUCCAAGUUUUCUAAGGAAUUUCCAUACUGCUUUCCAGAGUGAUUGCACCAACUUGCACUCCCAUCAGCAAU
This 103-nucleotide microRNA precursor is filed under the name Marmota monax (woodchuck). The record is from RNAcentral. Lineage: Eukaryota; Metazoa; Chordata; Mammalia; Rodentia; Sciuridae.